Molecule: long non-coding RNA, 3224 nt
Organism: Podarcis muralis (Common wall lizard)
Lineage: Eukaryota; Metazoa; Chordata; Lepidosauria; Squamata; Lacertidae
Source: Ensembl
AUGCUUAUUAUAGCUGCAGAACCUGCAGGUACACAUCUAUUUUCCUAUCUGCAUUGUGUCAUGCUGCACUGGCAUUUUCAGCUUUCCUUAACUGGGAACACAACCCCUCAUCUGGGAUCCCUUAUCAUGUGGCCAAGUGGAAGCGGGGUCCUGCUGUCAGUGGGAUCAUAUUGUGAAUUGUGGAUUUCUCAAGGAGCAGAACAGACCCCUUUGCCAGGAAGCAGAGGUAAUCUCAGGGUAAAAUCAAGACCUAUGUUCUAAGCAUGGUGCGGGCUGCUGCCACCUUGAAAACAAAUACCAUGGAAUGCACUGAAUGAGUGUUAAAAACCAGUUCUACCUCUACCAAACUUUUAAAUGCGCCCUUAUCCUCAAGUGAACGAAAGCUUGGCCUCUGAAGCAGAGCGGUUAAUCCGCCCCAUUCAGAAGCCAUGUCAGUCUCAUAGUUUAUUUGUGCUGCUCAGUGUUGUGUGGCGACACCAGCGACUGUCUGUAACAUUGUUUGGCCUUCAACAUUCUUCACCUGGGCAGGAGGUGUGGAACCACACAUGAUCUCAUGCUUCUCUCAACAUUCAGAGCGUGCUUAUACCUUACCUACUUAGCUGAACAUUUCAUAUUUGUGAUCAAUUCUGGCCCACAAAGCCUUCUGCCAUGAUAAAAUGGUUCCAUCUUUUAAGGGUGUGUGUGUGAGAGAGAACAUCUCUGCAGUCCAACUAGAUCAGGGGUUAGCAAACAUUUUUAGCAGGGGACCGGUCCACUGUCCCUCAAACCUUGUGGGGGGCUGGACUAUAUUUUGAAGGGGGGGAAUGAACGAAUUCCUAUGCCUCACAAAUAACCCAGAGAUGCAUUUUAAAUAAAAGGACACAUUCUACUCAUGUAAAAAUAUGCUGAUUCCUGGACCAUCCAUGGGCCGGAUUUAGAAGGUGAUUGGGCCGGAUCUGACCCCUGGGCCUUAGUUUACAUACCCAUGAGCUAGAUAAUACACACAUUACCACGGGGUAUGGAAGAUGUCACCUACUACUGCAAUACAUUAAAAACAAGGCAACUGAGUUUCUAAAAGGGAGUAUCCUUUGGUCCCCGUCCCCCCCGCCGGUGGUACCUACCUGAAAUCUAACUAUCCAAGAUAAAAGUAACUUGAAGAGUGUUUAGGGCAAGUUUGUAUAUUACAUUAUCCACUGGAGUGACACUGGUUUCCUGAGAAAUGUAUUUCGUGACAUAUACCAUUUCCUCCCUUGUGACUGCCUCCUUUUAAAAAUAUGAUCGGUAAUGCAAUAGCUUCGUUUUCAGACUGAAUGUCAGGCGUACAGACCUUUUGUGUUAGCAUCUGUCAGAACUCUUCCACAACUGCAAUCUCUCCUCAUGCUCCCUUCCAAUAUAGAUUACUUACUGCACCAAACCAGAAACAGCUGCCCAUUUAAUCAGGCAAACGAAUGGGAAUCACCAGGGGGUGCCUUCUAGACCUGAUGCCAUCGCCUUCUAUUGAGAAUGUCCACCAAAUGUGAUCAGCCAAUACGACGAGCCCAUGGAAAUAUGACCCACCUUCACUGUCGGAUUCUCCAAACACAAAUGUGUGGAAUAAAAGAUGCACUUACUGAUGACCUACAAGACCUGAAAAAUAAGUGGGGGGGGGGGGAGGCUAGUGACUUGAAUACAGUGGUACCUCAGGUUACAGAUGCUUCAGGUUACAGACUCCGCUAACCCAGAAAUAUUACCUCGGGUUAAGAACUUUGCUUCAGGAUGAGAACAGAAAUCGCAUGGCGGCAGUCGGAGGCCCCACUAGCUAAAGUGGUGCUUCAGGUUAAAAACAGUUUCAGGUUAAGAACGGACCUCCAGAACGAAUUAAGUUCUUAACCUGAGGUACCACUGUACAUACUUCUGCUUCUGUUCACAUCAGCAUUUCAAAACCGAAGUACAGUGGAACCUCGUGUUAUGUACUGUCCUCCUUGCGAACGCUGCAGGUUACGAGCUCCGCUAACCCGUAAGUAGAUGCCCCUUGUUGCAAACUCUGCCCCGGGAUGCGAGCGGAAGUCGCGUGCCGGCAGCACGGCAGCAGCAGGAGGCGCUGUUAGUGGAAGCGCGCUUCAUGUUACGAGUGGUUUCAGGUUACAAACGGACCUCCAGAACUGAUUAAGUUCGUAACUGGAGGUACCACUGUAUACAUUCCACCCAAAAUGUAUUCUUGAUCUUCUACUGUGUGUACUGAACUUUAGCCUUUCUUUACCGAAGGCCUAUUUCUUAAGUCUAAAUAAUACAGAACCAUAGAGUUGGAAGGGACCCUAAGGACCAUCUAGUCCAGGGGUGCCCAAGCCUUUUUCAAAGAGGGCCAGAUUUGAUGAAGUGAACAUGCGUGAGAGCCAAUCAAAAUUGUUGACCUUUUUUAAGGACUGAAGUUGUUGAGCUUUUUUCUUUUUUCACAAUUUUACCCCAAAGUUGUUGAGCUUUGGGAUAGAAGCUGCAACCUUGGUGUUAUCAGCACUACCCCUCUAACCAACUCAGCUAUCCAGGUCCUCACUGGACCCUAAAAGAAACAAUAAUGCACAGAAUUAAAAUAGCACCAUGUCUGUUUAUAGCAACAAAAUGCACAGAUGAGAAAAACUGGCUAUAGACACAUUACAUGAGAGGCACACAUUGGCUUAUGCACACAAAAUAAUUCUGUAUGUUUCCAACUGCAAAUUUCUCAGGAGGGGAGAAGAGAGAAAUGAGUAGACAUUUUCCCCAUUUUCAGAAAUACAUACUGAUAGAAACUCCAUAUGCAAUUAAACAUUUAGUGAUAUGAGGACAUGAGUUGGUGUGGAACUCUAAAAUAUCCUGCAUAAGAUGAUUCCACCUCUAGUUUGAAGAUGGACAUAGGAUGACGGAGGCUAUAAGGAACAGAAUUUGUGCCUUUCAUGCUCAGUGUCUUACUACCUGAUUGGAAUAACUGUGGCCACGGGUUUAUUUAUUUCUGGACAAAUUAGCUGGUGACAGGGCCAUUUCGGGUGGGGGGUGGGAGAGAAAAUAAACGGGUGCUUGAGAUGAAGUCACUUUAAUAACUUGAUCGCACAGCUUGAUUGUUCGAACGUGUUUUGUGAUAUUUUAGGGACAAUAGUUACACAACCACGAUUUUAACUGUUGCUAAUUUGCUGCGUUUCGUUAACAGAGGCUCAGCUUUUCUUUGUUUCCAUUCCUCCCAGGGCAUUCGGCUUUUCACACACGUUCGUCAGCCGUUUUACUCCUCCACAAAUACA